GGACCUUUAGCUCAGCUGGUUAGAGCAGUCGGCUCAUAACCGAUCGGUCCUGGGUUCGAGUCCCCGAAGGUCCA
This 74-nucleotide transfer RNA is filed under the name [Eubacterium] cellulosolvens 6. Its description in RNAcentral is "tRNA-Met". It matches the Rfam family "tRNA". From Rfam's summary of the family: Transfer RNA (tRNA) molecules are approximately 80 nucleotides in length. Their secondary structure includes four short double-helical elements and three loops (D, anti-codon, and T loops). The record is from RNAcentral. Lineage: Bacteria; Bacillati; Bacillota; Clostridia; Eubacteriales; Eubacteriaceae.